GACGUAGGGCGCGAGCGUUGUCCGGAUUUAUUGGGCGUAAAGAGCUCGUAGGCGGCUUGUCGCGUCGUUCGUGAAAACCCACAGCUCAACUGUGGGCUUGCGGUCGAUACGGGCAGGCUGGAGUUCGGUAGGGGAGACUGGAAUUCCUGGUGUAGCGGUGAAAUGCGCAGAUAUCAGGAGGAACACCGGUGGCGAAGGCGGCACUCUGGGCCGGUACUGACGCUGAGGAGCGAAAGCGUGGGGAGCGAACAGG
Molecule: ribosomal RNA, 253 nt
Filed under: uncultured bacterium
Lineage: Bacteria
Description: partial 16S ribosomal RNA
Rfam family: Bacterial small subunit ribosomal RNA
Source: RNAcentral